AGUCCACAUUAAAAGAAAGCUUUUUAUUAGAUUUAUUUUAAGGAUACAGUAAAGUGUUAAUGGGCAGCUCAGGUUCACUACAGUAAAGUGUCGAUGGCAGCUCAGGUUCACUACAGUAAAGUGUCAAUGGGCAGCUCAGGUUCACUACAGUAAAGUGUUAAUGGGCAGCUCAGGUUCACUACAGUAAAGUGUCAAUGGGCAGCUCAGGUUCACUACAGUAAAGUGUUAAUGGGCAGCUCAGGUUCACUACAGUAAAGUGUCAAUGGGCAGCUCAGGUUCACUACAGUAAAGUGUCAAUGGGCAGCUCAGGUUCACUACAGUAAAGUGUCAAUGGGCAACUCAGGUUCACUACAGUAAAGUGUCGAUGGCAGCUCAGGUUCACUACAGUAAAGUGUCAAUGGGCAGCUCAGGUUCACUACAGUAAAGUGUUGAUGGGCAGCUCAGGUUCACCACAGUAAAGUGUUGAUGGCAGCUCAGGUUCACUACUCUGGUUAAAGUUAAUAAUGAC
Molecule: long non-coding RNA, 508 nt
Organism: Dicentrarchus labrax (European seabass)
Lineage: Eukaryota; Metazoa; Chordata; Actinopteri; Moronidae
Exons: 7
Source: RefSeq, a predicted model, not a curated record